Molecule: long non-coding RNA, 754 nt
Filed under: Homo sapiens (human)
Lineage: Eukaryota; Metazoa; Chordata; Mammalia; Primates; Hominidae
Description: HSALNT0401887
Source: RNAcentral
CCGCGGCCGCAGAACCUGCCCGCUCUGCACACCAGGGCGGACACCCACAGACGCGUCCUUCACCCGCGCAGGGACCUGCCAGGGGCGCUUAUACCGGAGGGUGUUCAGAGCAGGAAAGGAAGAGAUCAAAUCUGAACCCGGAUCCGUCUCCUACAGAACCUGAGUCGCUCAAUCAUCAGCUAGAUCGCCCCGUGUAGACAAAGCAAGUGGAAUUAUUUGAAGAGUAUACCUUGAGCUGGGCAAUCCUCAUAGAAGGUCGGGGACGACCUGCCCUUCAGUGUUCCUGGAGCAUCUUCUCCAAAGUGGAGGUCGAGCCAGGCCUAGGAGGAAAGAGAGGGCAACUGCGGACGACCCCACCGCAGAAGAGGUGAAACCGACGGGCUCCAGGGCUUUUUCACUCAUUCCCUAGGCAUGUGGGACCUCGAAGAUGCCGAAUCAGCUAAACGGGAGGUGGCUUGAGUAGGAUUUGCUGCCAGCUAAAGCGUGAGAUGCUAUUGCAUGUGCAAGGCAAGGCUUUCUUCAGCGGCAUCAUCUUCCAAAAUAGCCCAGUGAGCAUGCCUUUCUCCUGAAAAAUAAAAAAUAGUUGGUGUUUACUGCAAUCGUAUGGCAAAUACUGUGUUGAGAGAUUAAUUUACAUGAACUCAUAGAACCCUCAGGGCAAGUUUAUGAGAUUCCCUUAAGUUAUUCUGAUGCAGACCCAGGCCUGAGAACCACAGCCUCUCUGCCCACCACAUGAUGUCACCAUCCAUAAAAC